This 565-nucleotide ribosomal RNA is filed under the name Pleosporales sp. F4. Its description in RNAcentral is "eukaryotic LSU rRNA". The stretch from base 206 to 359 matches the Rfam family "5.8S ribosomal RNA". The record is from RNAcentral. Lineage: Eukaryota; Fungi; Ascomycota; Dothideomycetes; Pleosporales.
GAAGGAUCAUUAACCUUUCAAAAAACAGGGUGCGUCGCGGCCCCCCUCCGGGGGCGGUUUGGGGUCCUCCCCUUCACGCGCGCACGACUGCAUCCUUACUUUACGAGCACCUUCUGUUCUCCCUCGGCGGGGCAACCUGCCGUUGGAACCGAAUAAACCCUUUUUUGCAUCCAGCAUUACCCGUUCCGAAACAAACAAUCGUUACAACUUUCAACAAUGGAUCUCUUGGCUCUGGCAUCGAUGAAGAACGCAGCGAAAUGCGAUAAGUAGUGUGAAUUGCAGAAUUCAGUGAAUCAUCGAAUCUUUGAACGCACAUUGCGCCCCUUGGUAUUCCGGGGGGCAUGCCUGUUCGAGCGUCAUCUACACCCUCAAGCUCUGCUUGGUGUUGGGCGUCUGUCCCGCCUCAGCGCGCGGACUCGCCCCAAAUCCAUUGGCAGCGGUCCUUGCCUCCUCUCGCGCAGCACAUUGCGCUUCUCGAGGGGCUCCGGCCCGCGUCCAACAAGAAAACAUUACCGUCUUUGACCUCGGAUCAGGUAGGGAUACCCGCUGAACUUAAGCAUAUCAA